AAGGUCAUUCCUGGACAUGACCAGACAACCUCUUAUGUUAAGUAACCCUGAACCUAUCCACAAAAUUCCUGGUCACCACUACAAUGUUUUGUCAAGCAGGAUUCAUUUUUUUUACAUCAUGUAUGCUUUCUAUCAUGUGUUCCCCUACUUAUGUAAUUACGUAUAAGACGCACGCCAUGGCGAUCCCCAGCAGUGACGUGCAAAUAUAUCUGUAGGCAAUUCAAAUCACAGACACAUCAUCUUGUUGCAAAGACGAUCUUCAUGUAUAUAUGCUUUCUUGGUUCAUUUGCUGCUCAAGGGCUCGUCUAAUUUUGAUUUUUAGAAGCUCUGAUUUCCAAAUAUAGAUUUUCUUUCUGCUCUUCUUCACCUUAAAUUUGUUUCAGUAGAUUAUUUUUUUAAGAAUUAAAUUUGGAAUCAUUUAAUUGUGUCUAUGAUUCCAUCUUAAUAUCUAUGCAGCAUGCUGAUGGAAUCAUUUUCAAACUUUACCACCAGGAAGCACAAAUGUAGUAUGUUGCUAGCUGCGUGGACCAUCGCUUCUUGCAGUAUCAGAUCCAACCAAAUUGGUUAGUGGGAGUGCUGAUGGUUCGCUGUGGAAUAUGAAUCAGGCAAUUCUAUUAUUACACUUGCUGUAUGCCAACUUUUGAAUUAUGACAAUGUGGUUAUCGAGCUUGCAUGUGAUGGUGGUAAUUUUGCCCUA
Molecule: long non-coding RNA, 697 nt
Organism: Lolium rigidum
Lineage: Eukaryota; Viridiplantae; Streptophyta; Magnoliopsida; Poales; Poaceae
Exons: 2
Source: RefSeq, a predicted model, not a curated record